RNAcentral lists this long non-coding RNA (1202 nucleotides) under Trifolium pratense (red clover). RNAcentral describes it as "long non-coding RNA (TPRA_LNC011022)". The record is from RNAcentral. Lineage: Eukaryota; Viridiplantae; Streptophyta; Magnoliopsida; Fabales; Fabaceae.
AACUUUUCCUGCAUGACAUGGAAUCUGAGUGGCUUAUCAGAAAGCAGACACCCAACAAGGCACAACUCAGGCAAAACCAUGAAUCUUCUCCAUGUUCCCCCAAUAACCAUGAAUUUAAUUGUUGGCUUUGUUGAUGAUUAAUUUGAGUAAGCAGACUCUAACAUAAAUAAAGACGAGUGAAUCAGUUAGUUCUUGUUCAACUUCUUGCUCUUGAAGUUCAAUCAGAAUAUUCAAAUUGUGUUGGAUUUGGUUUGCUUAUGUGUUGUUAUUAAUUCUCAUCCGGUGAGCAUAAUCACUCAGUUUUGUAUGUUAUCAUUAUACUUCUUGCUACAAUUGGUUUAUUCUUGGAGUUUUGAAAAUGGAUUGUCAAUUUGUAGGUGAUUCUGUUCUGCUAGUAACUGAUACUUCACAUGGUUGGUAGUUUUGAGAAGAUGGAGCAUGAAAAUUGGUUUAUGUGAAAGAUGAGUUUUGUUAGAAGUCCCACAUUAGCUAGAGAUAUGACAAAGAUAACCUUUAUAAGUGUAGUGCAAACCUCAACUCUAAAGCUAACUUUUGUGGUUGAGUAUAGGCCUCUCAAAUUCUAAUAUGGUAUCAGAGUCUAUCCUAGAUCCAUUUGUUGUUUGUUGUGGAGACCUCCCAUAUUUGGGGCACCCGUUGUUGUUGAUUCCACGUUCCAGCUUGUUCAGUCCCGGACGUGAGAGGGUGUGUUAGAAGUCCCACAUUAGCUAGAGAUAUGACAAAGAUAACUUUUAUAAGUGUAGUGCAAACCUCAACUCUAAAGCUAGCUUUUGUGGUUGAGUAUAAGCCUCUCAAAUUCUAAUAAGUUUUCCUACAAGGGUGUUUGAUUUCUGUCCCCUUUGAAUAGCUUCAGUAACAAGUUUUGUUAUAAGAAGAUUAAUUUGGAUUUUGCUUCAUGUACUAUGGAAUAUUGAAAUUUUUGUCAGUACUUAGUGGCAUGCUUUGGAAGAUAUGCUUUGGUUAUAAUGAAGCUUUGGUUACCAAUUUGGUAUUGUUCAUUCCAAGCUCAAAAUGUUGUGAACACCUUCCAGUUUGUUAGAGGCUGAUGAAAUAUAGGUAAUAAGGGUCAUUUAGUUAGUUAGUUAGUAUGUAAGGUAGAUGAUAUUCAAUUGUAAAACAAUUUCUCCUUCAUUUGAAUCAUUUUGUUUCAAUACAAAUCUUUCAAGCUUUUCACUCAUUUUCUC